This 513-nucleotide long non-coding RNA is filed under the name Numida meleagris (helmeted guineafowl). RNAcentral describes it as "lncRNA (ENSNMEG00000000098.1)". Lineage: Eukaryota; Metazoa; Chordata; Aves; Galliformes; Numididae. The record is from RNAcentral.
GGAGAAACAGUACGGCUUCAAGAAAAGCUUCCCAGUUCCAGAUUCAAGUAAUGAAAGAGAGGAAAGAACCCCGAGCUGAACUAUGUAUAGCGCAGGAACAAGUGUUUUGGUGUGUGGAGGAGUAAGAAGAAAGAAGGCAUUGCCUGGUGGCAAGGGCAGCUGGAGAGGCUUCGUCUUGAAUGCUCGGAAAUGGACACAUUCGUUCCGAAACACUCCAGAGAUCAACAUAAAUCUGCAAGUGUUAGCCAUGAAAAUGGAUCUGUUUUCUACUCAGAUGUGAAGAUGAAAAUGCAGGUGUUCUUGUAUCAGAAAGCAGACCUAGGAGACUUCAGAAACAGCAACCGAGUCCACACAGUCUUCUCCAAAAUAGUUUUCUAUUACAGAGAAGGGCUUCAGAAAUAUUUUAAGAUGAAGUCAGCAUGGCUUCAGAAAAGAGAAAGGGGAGUCAGUAGUGCCGUUAUGGGAAAGGAAUUGGAUGAAUUGAACUCCAAGGUCAGUGUCUACUGGAUUUAA